CUCGCCGCGGGAAUACAGAGGGUGCGAGCGUUAAUCGGAUUUACUGGGCGUAAAGCGUGCGUAGGCGGCUUUUUAAGUCGGAUGUGAAAUCCCCGAGCUUAACUUGGGAAUUGCAUUCGAUACUGGGAAGCUAGAGUAUGGGAGAGGAUGGUAGAAUUCCAGGUGUAGCGGUGAAAUGCGUAGAGAUCUGGAGGAAUACCGAUGGCGAAGGCAGCCAUCUGGCCCAAUACUGACGCUGAGGUACGAAAGCAUGGGGAGCAAACAGGAUUAGAUACCCCCGUAGUCCCUGUCUCUUAUACAC
RNAcentral lists this ribosomal RNA (301 nucleotides) under uncultured bacterium. RNAcentral's name for it is "partial 16S ribosomal RNA". It matches the Rfam family "Bacterial small subunit ribosomal RNA", at positions 512 to 809 of the family's 1533-position model. The record is from RNAcentral.